RNAcentral lists this ribosomal RNA (253 nucleotides) under uncultured bacterium. RNAcentral describes it as "partial 16S ribosomal RNA". It matches the Rfam family "Bacterial small subunit ribosomal RNA", at positions 524 to 776 of the family's 1533-position model. The record is from RNAcentral.
GACGGAAGGUGCAAGCGUUGCUCGGAAUCACUGGGCGUAAAGGGUGCGUAGGCGGCCGUGUAAGUCUGGCGUGAAAGCCCCGGGCUCAGCCCGGGAAGUGCGCUCGAAACUGCGCGGCUCGAGUGCCGGAGGGGAGAGUGGAAUUCCUGGUGUAGCGGUGAAAUGCGUAGAUAUCAGGAGGAACACCAAUGGCGAAGGCAGCACUCUGGGACGUGACUGACGCUGAGACGCGAAAGCGUGGGGAGCAAACAGG